GUUAAUGGGUAGAAGAGAGGUGUCGAGUUUCCGACUUUUCUUUCGUUCUUUGCUUUCUCUCUCUCAUGAAACGGAAACGGUGACCGCAGGGAAGAAGAAACGGCGACCGCAGUGCCGUUAUCGGGAUCUGCAAGUCGUUCAGACCUUUCUUUCGUUCCGAGCAAUGCCGUUAUCGGGAUCUGCAAGUCUUUGAUCGCCGGUGGCGUUGCCGGCGGAGUGUUCAAAAUCUACACAGUAUAAAGUACAAUGUGACGGUUCAGAGAUUAAAGUACAAUGGGAAGAAGAAACAACCGCAGGGGAAGAAGAGAUCGUAUUUUAGCAGCCGAAAGAGAAGAGAUUCCGAGCAACAUGGAUGCCUCAAGGUGAAAAGAGGAGGAGACUUGAAGAAGAGAAGGGGAUUAUUAUCCGGUUUGUCAUUGGUCACAAAGGCUGAGGACAGGAGGCAUGGAGAUUUCUUGAGACUGGAACGGAGAAACCAAGCUUCGUCGAAGAUGAAGGAGGCAUAGUGCUCAUCUCCAACAAUCUCUCAUCCUCUUCUUUUUCCUCUAGGUAUGGUUGCUACUCUCUCAUCCUCUUCUAAUGUCUAGAGUUUUGUUGGUGUUUACAGUGUUUCUAAAAACUCCAAAAAUAAGAGACUUGCAUUGGAGGUGCUAA
Brassica oleracea var. oleracea is the source of this 654-nucleotide long non-coding RNA. RefSeq lists it as uncharacterized. The record is from RefSeq and is a predicted model, not a curated record. The transcript is spliced from 5 exons. Lineage: Eukaryota; Viridiplantae; Streptophyta; Magnoliopsida; Brassicales; Brassicaceae.